This 551-nucleotide long non-coding RNA is filed under the name Homo sapiens (human). RNAcentral's name for it is "HSALNT0076965". The record is from RNAcentral. Lineage: Eukaryota; Metazoa; Chordata; Mammalia; Primates; Hominidae.
GAACCCGGUACCUCAGAUGGAAAUGCAGAAAUCACUGUCUUCUGCGUCGCUCAUGCUGGGAACUAUAGACCGGAGCUGUUCCUAUUCAGCCAUCUUGGCUCCUCCCCUUGAAUAUUCUUUGAAGAGCUUAUUUAAUUUUUUGCUCAUAUUUUCAACAUGAGAGGUUUAUAUCAGGCAGUCUCCACCCCUGUUCCGAAGUCAAGAGGCUGACUCGGGUUGCUACUUCUUGACAGACCGGACCCCAGAUCGUGAGUUCAAUCACUGGCAGGGCAAAUUGUUAUAUUUUCUUCCCCCCUCCUUUUAAAAGCAAUAUAGUAUAAGUUAUACCUUUAUUUUCCAAGUGCAGUGCUUACCUCAGUAUGUUUUAAUAUCAUAUAUCAACUUAAAUUCUCAAAAUAUUAGUAUCAUCAAUUAAUGAAAGUCUCUCAAUUUCCCUAAGUUAGAUGAGAAAAUGAGAACAUUUUACUCCUCUUUUGUGCUUUCAACACCAAUUCUUAUUAAAAUUUCCCUUUUACAAUUGUGCUGAGAUUUGUAUUCAGUCUUAUACCCGU